GGACCGGAAGUGGGGGGGCGGAAGUGCAGUGGGCUCAGCGCCGACUGCGCGCCUCUGCCCGCGAAAACUCUGAACUGGCUGACAGCUGGGGACGGGUGGCGGCCCUCGAGUGGAGUCGGUUGAGUUCCUGAGGGCCCCCGGUUCUGGAAGGUUCGCCGCGGAGACAAGUGAGCAGUCUGCGCCGUAGGGAUUCUCGAAGAGAACAGCGUGUGUCCCAGUGCACAUGCUCGCAUCGCUUACCAGGAGUGCCUGAGACCCUAAGAUGUUCGAAGUGGUUUUUUCACACAGACCCGAAUAGCCUGUCCCUCAGCCACGCUCUGUGCCCUUCUGAGAACAGGCUGAUAUGCCCAAGAUAGUCCUGAAUGGUGUGACCGUAGACUUCCCUUUCCAGCCCUACAAAUGCCAACAGGAGUACAUGACCAAGGUCCUGGAAUGUCUGCAGCAGUCCUUGAGGGUGAUGGACUUAGGAGUGCCUUGGGGGCCUCUCUGAGGAGCAGCUGGUAUUCACGGGUCAGGGGGAAGCGUUUCCAUUAGAGGGGCAGCCGGUGGCCAGCCUCACUUUGAAGAAGGUGAAUGGCAUCCUGGAGAGCCCUACGGGUAC
Molecule: small RNA, 601 nt
Filed under: Pongo abelii (Sumatran orangutan)
Lineage: Eukaryota; Metazoa; Chordata; Mammalia; Primates; Hominidae
Description: processed transcript
Source: RNAcentral